Molecule: non-coding RNA, 4471 nt
Organism: Zootermopsis nevadensis
Lineage: Eukaryota; Metazoa; Arthropoda; Insecta; Blattodea; Termopsidae
Source: RefSeq, a predicted model, not a curated record
CAGCUGCACGCGCUUCGAAGGCUAAUGCAGGGGAAUGGUGUCCACCCGAAGGCGCCACUGGGAAACAACUUCCGACCUCCUCAGCCGCUUCACCUCAGACCGGUCCGUACGAACAUCGACUUCAAUGUCAAGCAGGGGGGGAAAUAUUGCCCGAGUAUGUACAGAGAAGUGUAUUACAGAGCUAACAGUUGGAAACAGCACUGAACACUGAAUGCCAGCAGGUUUCUAGAUAAUUAAAAAGUUUGUUUGCAAAAAUAAAACUGCUUACUGUACCGUAUAUUACGUCAGUACGGAAGUCAUAUAAUUAAAAGAGUCUACCUUCUCCAUUAAACAUAUCAAGUGAACAUAAACAUCAAAGUGCCAGUGCUAUAGUGUUUAGAACUGAGAAGUUAUUAAAUGACAACGUGAUGUAGCAUUUAUUGUCAUUGCAUGACUGCUACAAGUGUCAUCGAAAGGUAAUGACAGUCAUGAAUGUUAGGUGACUGGGGGAAUACAUAAGAAGGUAAUUAAGAUUCAGCGUCACCAGACGUGGUUCGUGAAUGUGACGCUAACGUUCGUGUGAAUCAGAAUUUUUCGCAAUACCUAACUCAGCGUACACAGCGUUUAAGAUUGGAUUAGUCGUUCUACAAUCUGUGAUUUCUUAUCAUUGCGUACGACGGAUUUCGCUGACGUAAUUUUGUAUUCGUUACUCUAUAGAUAUAAUUUAUACGUGGCAUACUUUAAAUUUGUUUUGUAUUAGUUAAUAAAUUAUUGACGAAAUUCUUCAAUUUUGGACAUACUUCUUAAAUAAUAUUAAGGAAUUUUUACCCCCAGCCAAAAAAUGACUUUCUACUCUUCGUAAGAUUUCCGGUUCUCACGGCGAAUAUAAAGAUGGCUGUUUUCUGCCUCGUUCCGCCGUCGGUACACUUUUAACUGAAUACGCGACUCUACAACCCAGAAGCCAUACUGUUACUUCCGUCAUCGUCAUUUGUCCUUUUAAUGAUUUGUGUAGGUCUAAUAAGGAAAGUCGUUUUAUACAAGAGCAUUACAUUCACGAACUGCCGCUGUUGAACAACGCGUUUGAUAGUCCUCUUUGUAAAUUUGGAACGUUCGAAAUGAGUACCAUUCAGAAGCCAGCAUGUGGACAGAAGAGGACGAUGUUUACAUAUAUCGAUGGAAACUUUGAGAAACACAAGAUCCCUAAUAAAGUGUAUGGGACACGGCUUUCGUUCCACAAACAGCCGGGCAGUGGAAGCAGCAAGAGACAUGACCAGCCGAUGACGUAUUUAAGAGGGAAUUUGCGAGUUUAUGUUGCUGUGGUAAGCCUUCAGGAGGUACUUGUUGAGAAUAAUGUAUAGAAAUUGGUGGAAAUGGUAGACACAUAUUACUUAUUUCUUACCCGAAAAUCACAAAAGAUUUUUGUUUUUCUGUUCUAAGAUACAAAUGUUUUCCUCAAAUAUCUUACCAACAGAAAUGUAGACCUACUUAGCUACAAAUCUAGUCAUUUCCUAUCCAGCAUCAUUUCCAAAUUGUUUUUAUUUAAUAUAUUUACAAAAAUAUUCCUUACAUUUCUUAUGACCGUAAUUUCUUUACUCUCAAAAUUUACUUUCAAAAUUUGGCUUUACAUAUAAAGCGAUCAUAUAUCAGAAAUGAAUUGAACCGGGUUUUCUUUUACGUUCUUCCAGAACUUUCUAUACAAAAUUUUCACGCAAAUAUUUAUACUGUGAAGGGUCUUCCUAUGUAAAUUACUAGGAAAGAGAUGAUAAAACAAAUAAAUGAGAUGAUAAGCUUACGAUCUUCGUGACAAAACAUGAAAAGCAAACAUAACCUGCACAGUUACAAAUUCGAAAUAUUUUCUUUGUGAAAAGAAAUUUUCUUUCUUUCAACGUGUUUAUUUUUUAUUCCAUUAAGGUGUCUGCUGAUGUGAAGAUGAGCUAACAAAUUAUCCUUCAAAGUACUGACCCCAACUUCGACGUAUUAAAUACAGAGUAUAAACAGUUACGUGUUUUCUGAAGUAAUUUACGCAUAGAGUUUAUAGGAAAACCAACAAAUAGAACCUACAGUUAAAACAGGAUAUCAUAUCAAUUGCAAGCCUAAACUGAGAAACUUAUGGACUGGGUUCAUUAGUAUUAGAGGCUUGAAAAGUUGGUAAAUUUACACAUACUCAUGAUACAGUGUUAAAACGCUCAACUGAACUAUAUAUAUGUGGAUAUUUGUUGAAUCACAAAAAUAUCAUUACAUGUGAAUCAAAAUUUUCAUGUUUAUUCGAGAAAAAUCUGAAAAUCAUAUUUUAUUGCAGAAUAUCAUGAAAACAUUAGUGUUGAUAUCGUGCUGUUGCCUCAGAACAACACCCAAGACGUGUAUUGGUACGUACUUUCGCGCACUGACGUUUUCAGUUAAGGUACAGUUAUGUGCUGAAAAUACUUUAUUUCAUAUAGCAUAGUAUUUUACUGUUAUUUUCUGCGUGAUUCAACCAUUUCUGUACAAAAUAUAUUUAUUUUUUCAGUUUUACUCUCCAAAUUAGGGCACGCCUUAUAUUCAGGAGCGCAUUAAAUUCGGACAAAUCGUGUUUCGGUCAUAAAACCUUAGUAAAUAAUUUUCACUGACCUUUACUAAUCUUUGGAAUUGUUAUGUGCAAUCAGGUUAUCAACAGAUAUCAUUUUCGACAAUCAGCGAUUUCCGAACAGUUGACGGCAAUCUGAAUUUCUUUAUCCUUCUUAAUCAAACAAUUUGUCGUACAAAAUAAAUAUUUGAGGCUUACAUUGAAACACUAACGCCAUAUCGUACUGUUAUAUCGUGCUUCCAGUCUGCAUAUUUGUAGUCACAUAUUCCUCAGGUGCCUUUAGUCUAGAUCGUUAACGAAGUAAUUAAAAGUCGUAAAGGUUUCACGCAAUGAUUCACAGUUAUUUCUUUUGUCAAAUUACUAAAGGCCCAUAAUCAACAGACAUCCAACUCUAAAAUCUACACUUGAGAACAUGGCCUACUUCUAUCAACUAGAAUGUACUCUGAAGGGAGUAUCACUUAUUUUCCUAUUGUUUUCUCUCCGUGAGUUGAUAAACAAUCCUCUUCACUCUGUUAUGAAUCGUAUAUAACAAGGUUUAUAGUAACACUCGGUUACCAACCACAAUAGGCCUACAUAAAUACAUAAAAUGAGUUCUAAAUUUUGCAUAUCAAAACUAUACCCUUAAAUAACAUUGCAUUCGUCUUACAUAUCACAUAGGAAGGACGAAAUAAAUGCAUAUAAUUUAUUUAAUACUGACAAAUUGUUUCGUAAGAUUUUAUCAAACUUCCGUUAUUCGGAUGUAUAAGACUGAUAAUAUUUGUAAGGUUUUAGUCGUUAAUUCGGAAACCGCUGACAAAAAGGAUUACUUUGUCAGAGUUCAUGUUGCAGCUUAUUAUAUCAUAUUGUCGACAUAUUACGAUUACCUACAAAAUAGUAAAACUUCUUAAAAUUAGAGCGACGUCCCUUGGAGCCAUUUUGUUCUCCCAUUGACCGAUCGACGGCCGACAAAUUAAGCAAAAUGUCUGUAUGAGGCAUUUACCAUUACAAUGAUUAACUGGUUGUGUAAUAAAAUAAUUGUUGUUUGCUCUGAGAACAUAAUAGGUAAAUUCAGAGUUAUUAAUUAUUAAAGAAGGUGGUGUAUAUAGUUACCACUGGGCUUUAAAGAAUUAAGUUACAGAAUAGGGAUAACGAGCUUCAAAUUAUUUGAUAGUUAAACCAAUCAUGCGUUUAACUUUGCUCCUCUGAAUGGAGGACAAAAAUAAUGUUAAUGUUUUCUUAAUGUGUAGCCAUAUUUUUGCUGAAGUACAGAAACAUAAAUCAGAUUUAUUUUAAGUCUACUGUUUAAUAAAAAUCGGUCAAUGGAAAUAAUAAUUAAUCUAUAAAACCACAGCUGAGUAAGCUUAAGUUGUCAAGAGAUUUUGAAGUGAAAUUAUAAUCAAACUGAUAUCAAUCAAACAGACGAAAUAAGAGGAUAUUCUGAUUCUUAGCGUUGAAGGGGUUACAAUUUAUGUAACCGAAGAGAGCUGUAAUGCAGACUCUGACUGAAUUCGCUUUUAGAAAUUUAUUUACGAUCUCGGUCAGUAUUUUUGUAUAAUUCUCUGAAGGAUCACGAUUUCUGCUGCUUGUUGCAGUAAACGAAUAAAAAUAAAAAUAAAAGGUAACAGAUGGCUAUGAUAAAUUAAGAUAUAUACGUUUUAACAAAGAAGAAACAUAUCAUAUUUUACAAUCUGAAAAAAAAUUACCCAAAUGUUGCUGUAGACUGCUUUGCAUAUACUAACUCCUAAAUGUGUAUGAAAACAUGUUGUUAAAAGGAUCCUAUUAUAAUACGAAGUGACAAUGUUAUAAUGUCUCUGUAGUAUUUAAGUGGAACUUGUGAGCAGCGGUAGUGAGACUGCUUCUUGUGAAGAAACUACGCAUAGUUAUGUACUUCGUGUCUCAUUCAAUGAAAACUAAUGAAGCCUCCCUCUUGCUUUUUGGUAAGUUUUGUUA